AAUAUUGCACAAUGGGGGAAACCCUGAUGCAGCAACGCCGCGUAAAGGAAGACGGUCUUCGGAUUGUAAACUUUUGUUCUUGGUGAAGAAGCAAGUGACGGUAGCCAAGGAGGAAGCCACGGCUAACUACGUGCCAGCAGCCGCGGUAAUACGUAGGUGGCAAGCGUUGUCAGGAAUUACUGGGUGUAAAGGGAGCGCAGGCGGGAAAUCAAGUUGGAUGUGAAAUGUCGGGGCUUAACCCCGGAACUGCAUCCAAAACUGAUAUUCUUGAGUGAAGUAGAGGUAGGCGGAAUUCCGAGUGUAGCGGUGAAAUGCGUAGAUAUUCGGAGGAACACCAGUGGCGAAGGCGGCCUACUGGGCUUUAACUGACGCUGAGGCUCGAAAGUGUGGGGAGCAAA
RNAcentral lists this ribosomal RNA (398 nucleotides) under uncultured bacterium. RNAcentral's name for it is "bacterial SSU rRNA". It matches the Rfam family "Bacterial small subunit ribosomal RNA", at positions 360 to 772 of the family's 1533-position model. The record is from RNAcentral.